Long non-coding RNA from Astatotilapia calliptera (eastern happy), 1809 nucleotides. The record is from Ensembl. NCBI's taxonomy places the organism in Eukaryota, Metazoa, Chordata, Actinopteri, Cichliformes, Cichlidae.
GUGAAACUGGGUCCUCUGAAAAUGGGUCAAAAGGGGGAAAAGCAGGUGGUUCUGGUAGCCUUCGUGCACCCUGAUGCUCAGCACAGAUAAACCAGUUAAUCAAAAGGUAUGCAAACAGACAACACAGACAACGCACACAUAAACAGUGGGACACUAAAGCAACACUUAAUGUCACCCUGUCUUCCAGGAUCUAUAUUUCAGUCCAGCAGGUGAACUGCCGCUGAAGUUGAGCAGGGGUUCAUGUGCUGUUCAGAUCCAUUUCUCACCUCAUCAGCGCGUUCCUCCCUUCACUGCUGAGCUGAAGUUUGUAGGACUCCUGCACCCCCUGCUGACCAUCCAAGGUUCCUGCCAGGUAGCCUGUUAAAUACAGAUACUGUCAGGGCUGGACUGGCCAUCGGGCAUACCGGGCACUUGCCCGGUGGGCGCUCGUGAUUUUUCAUUUUUAUGGGCCGAUGGGGUUUUAUUUCUUUUCUUUUUUUUUUAACGGUAUAAAUGAAUAGUGGUGGAUUGGCCAGUUGGUCAUGAUCGACUCUGGGCUGGACCAAUUACAGCCCAGAGUCGAACUUUAAAGUUUAGGUGAAAAGCAACGUGAUUUCUCACGUACGACUUCAGCUAGAAAGUUGCUAAUUCAAUCAUGAAACUGAUCAAUGAUCAGCUGAUCGGCUUUUCUCUCUGCGCCAGGAAGAGGAAACCGGCGGAUGUCGCGCUAAACAACAGCAGCACGUUUAAGCUUGAUCAGCUGUUGUUAGAAUUUAUUUAAUAUUAAUUUCUAGUAUCAGCUGAUGUUUGCUGGAGCCACAGCUGUAAAGCUGCCGGUCAUGAUGUCGGUUUGUAUAUGUGGUGAGAGGGAAACAUGAAGAUGAAACCAGGAGAUGUCCUUACUGAAUCAUCAGAGCUGAACAGGUGAUGGAGAAACAGGUUUACCUUUUAGGUGACAUGAACGAGUUGAAGGGAAGUUAUGAACUGUUUCUGAGAGACAAAUAACACCAGGAUCCUUUUUUAGGUAGCUGACAGCUGGUAACUGUGCAGGGGCGGGUCUAGCAAAGUUUUGCCAGGGGGGCAGGUAGGGCAUUAACAGGGAGAGGGGGGCACAAAGAAAUACUUUUCUUUCUUAUUCUCAUUUAAAAUGUCUAGCUUUUAAUAAAUAAUUAUCUGAAUCUUACAACCAAAGUUUUCAUAUUAUGUAAAAUGUAUAGAAAUCCAUUAUUGUAUUCAGUAAAUAUUAAGUCUAGUAUAUACCCUAAGUUAUAGUAUUCUAUCCUUUGGGAAGGUACCAUCUAUGAAGUCUGCAAUUCUGCUGAAGAAAGAUGUUGAAUCUAUUUAAUAACUGGAGAAAAAUAAUAGAUUUCUGUGCAUUUGUUUUAUACGUGCAUUAAAUUAAAAUUGGUUUUGUCAAUUGAGCAUCUUGAGGCAGAGGGUGGGGGAGUGGUUCCCUAUUUUUUUUCUUUUCUUUUUUUGCUGGGAGUUGGCAACCCUAUUAGUUAGGUAUAUGUAAUUAUAAAUUAGGUUGUUUUAUAUUUUUGCUAAGUACUGUUUAGAAUACCAGAAUAGGGAGGAUGGUGUAGGUUUAAGUUUAUUAUAAAGGUUUUAUGGCUUUUCCCAUAAUACCAUGGUGGGCCGGUCACUAGUCAAAAUGCCCGGGCUGAUUUUUUUGUCCCAGUCCAGCCCUGGAUACUGUAAUCAUGUAGUCGAAAGUCUAAUCGGGAGUACGUUUUUACACAGUUCCUUUAAAACAGAAAGAGAAAAGUUCUAAUGAAUUCUGAAUGUUAACAGUAAUACUAUAACAAAGUAGGACUUGCUAUAUAUGCC